CCAGGGCUGGCAGGAAGAGCCUUUGGACCUAAACUUUUUAAACAAGAGAUGCUCAAGGUGCACCUGCCCCUCAAAACUGGAAAUCCUGCUGGAAGGGGAUGUAGAGCUCACACCUGCUUCACACUUUGUUCAGAGGACAAUAAAGAAACUAAUUAUGUUUGGAAAGUCACUAGUUAUUUAUAGCACGGCAUCAAAUUUGUUGCCAGGAGAGCUUCAAGCAGGACAACAUCUUCUACUUCACACCUGAGAAACCAAGGAACUAAUUGCUUCAAGACAGCAAAGAAUUCCAGAGUAACUAUUCCAGACUUGACAACGCUGGUGGGAAUAAAUCCUCAGUGAAUGUGGCUUCAAAAAGCACCCUGUGCCCUCUCUUCCUCUGUCAGCUCGCUAAAAUAAGACUUAAGAGGAAAUCUGCCAAGACACCAAAGAAAAAGGCCACCUCUUCUGCUAAGGGAACUAAGGCAAGCAACAAUAACCCUCAGCAAAAGCACAAAGAUAAAGAUUAAGUAAUUACCAGCGGUAUGGCAGCAAUGGGAGGACAGUGGUUUCUGGAAUAUGGAAUUAUGCCAGAAAAGCUCUGGGAUCCAGUUCCCAAGCAGAGGGAGUGGAAGCUCACUGCUGCCUCAUUUCACAGCAAUGACAUCAGCCCUGAGCUCCCUGGAAAUCUGAAGCCUCUCUCCAGGAGGAUGGAUUGGUGCUGAGCUCGGAGUGGUCACGGGGCUCUGAGCACAUCAGGUGAUUCACACACAAAAGGGAUUUCAGUCUGCCUCCAGCACCCAGAGGAAGCACCAGCAGCUCUUUAUUUCUACAUCAGA
Molecule: long non-coding RNA, 815 nt
Organism: Passer domesticus (house sparrow)
Lineage: Eukaryota; Metazoa; Chordata; Aves; Passeriformes; Passeridae
Exons: 3
Source: RefSeq, a predicted model, not a curated record